RNAcentral lists this ribosomal RNA (253 nucleotides) under uncultured bacterium. RNAcentral describes it as "partial 16S ribosomal RNA". It matches the Rfam family "Bacterial small subunit ribosomal RNA", at positions 524 to 776 of the family's 1533-position model. The record is from RNAcentral.
UACGUAGGGUGCGAGCGUUGUCCGGAAUUAUUGGGCGUAAAGGGCUCGUAGGCGGUUUGUCGCGUCGGGUGUGAAAACUCCGGGCUUAACUCGGUGCUUGCUUUCGAUACGGGCAGACUAGAGGUAUGCAGGGGAGAACGGAAUUCCUGGUGUAGCGGUGAAAUGCGCAGAUAUCAGGAGGAACACCGGUGGCGAAGGCGGUUCUCUGGGCAGUACCUGACGCUGAGGAGCGAAGGUGUGGGGAGCGAACAGG